Molecule: ribozyme, 277 nt
Organism: Oncorhynchus tshawytscha (Chinook salmon)
Lineage: Eukaryota; Metazoa; Chordata; Actinopteri; Salmoniformes; Salmonidae
Rfam family: Nuclear RNase P
About the family: Ribonuclease P (RNase P) is a ubiquitous endoribonuclease, found in archaea, bacteria and eukarya as well as chloroplasts and mitochondria. Its best characterised activity is the generation of mature 5'-ends of tRNAs by cleaving the 5'-leader elements of precursor-tRNAs.
Source: Ensembl
GUGGGUGGAAGCUCAUCAUAGAGGUCACAUGCAGGGUGCUAAUCACUCAACCAAUCACCUUGGGACAAGAGCCAAUCACUGCCCUAGCAGGACUUAACCUGAUCUGGGUUAGUGAAGACACAUAGGAUAUUGGCCAUUGUGAGCUCUCUUCACAGGAGAUUACCAGUCAGUUAGACUCUGGUGAUUGUGCCCUAGCUUGCUUGGAAACACUCAUGGUUGGCAAUGUGUGAUUUGGAGUAUACCUCCAGAACCCAAUUCAGACUACUCUCUGUCCAGU